AGAGACAGCAGUAGCCGCGGUAAAACGUAGGUGGCGAGCGUUGUCCGGAUUUAUUGGGCGUAAAGGGAGUGUAGGCGGUCUUUUAAGUCUGAUGUGAAAGCCCACGGCUCAACCGUGGAGGGUCAUGGAAACUGGGAGACUUGAGUGCAGAAGAGGAGAGCGGAAUUCCAUGUGUAGCGGUGAAAUGCGUAGAUAUAUGGAGGAACACCAGUGGCGAAGGCGGCUCUCUGGUCUGUAACUGACGCUGAGGCUCGAAAGCGUGGGGAGCAAACAGGAUUAGAUACCCGCGUAGUCCCUGUCUCUUAUACC
RNAcentral lists this ribosomal RNA (309 nucleotides) under uncultured bacterium. Its description in RNAcentral is "partial 16S ribosomal RNA". It matches the Rfam family "Bacterial small subunit ribosomal RNA", at positions 504 to 808 of the family's 1533-position model. The record is from RNAcentral.